Antechinus flavipes (yellow-footed antechinus) is the source of this 298-nucleotide long non-coding RNA. RefSeq lists it as uncharacterized. The record is from RefSeq and is a predicted model, not a curated record. NCBI's taxonomy places the organism in Eukaryota, Metazoa, Chordata, Mammalia, Dasyuromorphia, Dasyuridae. The transcript has 2 exons.
GAUGGCUGCUGCUCAUCACCUCCAGUUAAAUAAUCUCCUUGGGGCUCCGAGGCUAGCAGAGCUAAGCGGGUCCCUGGAAGGGUCUUCAGCGUGCUGCGGUGGCUAUGCCGCCUCCCUCAACGCUGAACUUGGGAACAACCCCCUCUGCCAAACAGCUGGGUCGUUGCGUUCAUGUUACGAGAUGUACACCAGGCUUCAGCAUACGAGCCCACAGUCACCAUCAUAGAAAACUGGGGAUGGAGCUUUGGAUGGAUACGAGCAGUACUCCCCAACCCUAAUAAAGAACCGAUGGAUUGGA